This 2112-nucleotide ribosomal RNA is filed under the name Staphylococcus aureus. Its description in RNAcentral is "bacterial LSU rRNA". It matches the Rfam family "Bacterial large subunit ribosomal RNA", at positions 814 to 2925 of the family's 2925-position model. The record is from RNAcentral. Lineage: Bacteria; Bacillati; Bacillota; Bacilli; Caryophanales; Staphylococcaceae.
GGGUAGCGGAGAAAUUCCAAUCGAACCUGGAGAUAGCUGGUUCUCUCCGAAAUAGCUUUAGGGCUAGCCUCAAGUGAUGAUUAUUGGAGGUAGAGCACUGUUUGGACGAGGGGCCCCUCUCGGGUUACCGAAUUCAGACAAACUCCGAAUGCCAAUUAAUUUAACUUGGGAGUCAGAACAUGGGUGAUAAGGUCCGUGUUCGAAAGGGAAACAGCCCAGACCACCAGCUAAGGUCCCAAAAUAUAUGUUAAGUKGAAAAGGAUGUGGCGUUGCCCAGACAACUAGGAUGUUGGCUUAGAAGCAGCCAUCAUUUAAAGAGUGCGUAAUAGCUCACUAGUCGAGUGACACUGCGCCGAAAAUGUACCGGGGCUAAACAUAUUACCGAAGCUGUGGAUUGUCCUUUGGACAAUGGUAGGAGAGCGUUCUAAGGGCGUUGAAGCAUGAUCGUAAGGACAUGUGGAGCGCUUAGAAGUGAGAAUGCCGGUGUGAGUAGCGAAAGACGGGUGAGAAUCCCGUCCACCGAUUGACUAAGGUUUCCAGAGGAAGGCUCGUCCGCUCUGGGUUAGUCGGGUCCUAAGCUGAGGCCGACAGGCGUAGGCGAUGGAUAACAGGUUGAUAUUCCUGUACCACCUAUAAUCGUUUUAAUCGAUGGGGGGACGCAGUAGGAUAGGCGAAGCGUGCGAUUGGAUUGCACGUCUAAGCAGUAAGGCUGAGUAUUAGGCAAAUCCGGUACUCAUUAAGGCUGAGCUGUGAUGGGGAGAAGACAUUGUGUCUUCGAGUCGUUGAUUUCACACUGCCGAGAAAAGCCUCUAGAUAGAAAAUAGGUGCCCGUACCGCAAACCGACACAGGUAGUCAAGAUGAGAAUUCUAAGGUGAGCGAGCGAACUCUCGUUAAGGAACUCGGCAAAAUGACCCCGUAACUUCGGGAGAAGGGGUGCUCUUUAGGGUUAACGCCCAGAAGAGCCGCAGUGAAUAGGCCCAAGCGACUGUUUAUCAAAAACACAGGUCUCUGCUAAACCGUAAGGUGAUGUAUAGGGGCUGACGCCUGCCCGGUGCUGGAAGGUUAAGAGGAGUGGUUAGCUUCUGCGAAGCUACGAAUCGAAGCCCCAGUAAACGGCGGCCGUAACUAUAACGGUCCUAAGGUAGCGAAAUUCCUUGUCGGGUAAGUUCCGACCCGCACGAAAGGCGUAACGAUUUGGGCACUGUCUCAACGAGAGACUCGGUGAAAUCAUAGUACCUGUGAAGAUGCAGGUUACCCGCGACAGGACGGAAAGACCCCGUGGAGCUUUACUGUAGCCUGAUAUUGAAAUUCGGCACAGCUUGUACAGGAUAGGUAGGAGCCUUUGAAACGUGAGCGCUAGCUUACGUGGAGGCGCUGGUGGGAUACUACCCUAGCUGUGUUGGCUUUCUAACCCGCACCACUUAUCGUGGUGGGAGACAGUGUCAGGCGGGCAGUUUGACUGGGGCGGUCGCCUCCUAAAAGGUAACGGAGGCGCUCAAAGGUUCCCUCAGAAUGGUUGGAAAUCAUUCAUAGAGUGUAAAGGCAUAAGGGAGCUUGACUGCGAGACCUACAAGUCGAGCAGGGUCGAAAGACGGACUUAGUGAUCCGGUGGUUCCGCAUGGAAGGGCCAUCGCUCAACGGAUAAAAGCUACCCCGGGGAUAACAGGCUUAUCUCCCCCAAGAGUUCACAUCGACGGGGAGGUUUGGCACCUCGAUGUCGGCUCAUCGCAUCCUGGGGCUGUAGUCGGUCCCAAGGGUUGGGCUGUUCGCCCAUUAAAGCGGUACGCGAGCUGGGUUCAGAACGUCGUGAGACAGUUCGGUCCCUAUCCGUCGUGGGCGUAGGAAAUUUGAGAGGAGCUGUCCUUAGUACGAGAGGACCGGGAUGGACAUACCUCUGGUGUACCAGUUGUCGUGCCAACGGCAUAGCUGGGUAGCUAUGUGUGGACGGGAUAAGUGCUGAAAGCAUCUAAGCAUGAAGCCCCCCUCAAGAUGAGAUUUCCCAACUUCGGUUAUAAGAUCCCUCAAAGAUGAUGAGGUUAAUAGGUUCGAGGUGGAAGCAUGGUGACAUGUGGAGCUGACGAAUACUAAUCGAUCGAAGACUUAAUCAAAUU